Molecule: long non-coding RNA, 1997 nt
Organism: Heterocephalus glaber (naked mole-rat)
Lineage: Eukaryota; Metazoa; Chordata; Mammalia; Rodentia; Bathyergidae
Source: Ensembl
CUUAUUAAUCAGCGCUGACCAGAGGCCCCUUUUGAAACAAGAGAAGAGGAGAGAGAGAGAGAGAGAGAGAGAGAGAGAGAGAGAGAGAGAGAGAGAGAGAGAGAGAGAGAGAGAGAGAGAGAGAGAGAGAAGGAGAGAGACAGACAGAGAGAGAGUGAGGUAAAAGAAGAUUGAGAAGCCCUGGACAGAUCUUUCUAAAGCCAGAUCAACCAUAGGGUACUUCCCUCCCGUGGCCAAAGUUUAUUUGGCACAACAAAGUUUUUAAUCAGGCCACAGAGACCUGGAUUUCUCUUCAUUUGUUUUACUUCCAGUCUCUCCCUCUGAAGAUGUUGGAGACUUUGUUGCAAGGAAGGAUGGCUUUAGGUCAUAUUGCUAAGGCCUGAUCUUAAAGAUCUAAUUGCUAUUGGAAGAGAAGCCUGUUUCCCAGCUGGGCCUCCACUCUGGAGAUGGUGCAAGGAAGACUGUCCACUCUGCUCUGGGCACCCUGCUGAUGGAUGAGGUGUCAGGCCAGUCGUCAUGUGAGGGACUGGUUUCCAAAUGGGCUACCUAUGGGGUACAACAUGAAACCUAAUGGAAUAGAUCAUUUCCAAAAUCUUCUCUAAGCCUGAAUUUCUAAACAUCUGCUGUGCUACACCAUCGUGGCUCUUACAAAUGUGCAUGCCAGAUCGUCUAUGGUUCCUGACUGCUGGAUAUUCCACGGAGCUUCCUUACAGGCCCCCCCAAACCUGACUUCUUUGAAAUUCUUCUUGAACUCCUAAAAUAACUCAGCCCCCACUAACACCGCCCCCCACCGACACCCCGGGAUUGAACUCAGGACCUUGUGCUUGCCAGGCAGUUGCGGUGCCACUGAGCCAAAUCCCUGGACUUGCCACUACUUUACUCUUUCAGCAGCACCAGGGAUGAAUAUUAGGGCCUCAUGCAUGCCAGAGUAAAGAUUUUUACUUUCUUUCAUCUAAAGUCAGAAAAAUUCAAAUAAGGAGCCUCUUGCUAUUUUUCCUCUUUACCUUCAGUUCGUGGCAAACAGCACAACACUUCAAAUGAACACUCAAGUCAGAGUAAGAGCAAUUAAAAAUUAAGGCAAGCUAGAUGUAUUGGGAAUCGAACUCGGAUCUUUGCUCUUGCGAGGCAGGUGGCAGAACCACUGAGACUCUAACUCAAUCAAAGAGCCUCAGGCCAUCUAAUCAAAUAGAAAAUGAAGUCUACAAAGACAGAGAGGAAACAGAGAGAUUGAUGAAACAGUACGAGGGAUUCACUCACCAGCAGAGCAGUUGAAGAAUGGGAAGUAUACUUUCUAGAAUGGAUACUAUUCUAUAGUAUCCUUAAGGGGUUCAUGGAAAAACUUUUGUAAUAUUCUAAAAGCAUUUUUGUUUUAGUAAGCAAAACAAGACUAUCUGGCAAGCAUCACUUCUGUGGCCCUCACCUGCAGAUAAAAAUUAAAAUUCCAAAGACACCUCCUUUGUUCCCAGAUGAUAUUUUGAUGUACUAGGAAAUAAAAUAUAACUAUUUUAUCUGACUUUAACUCUUUAUACUAAUUAAAGUAAUGCCUUUUUUCUGUCCCAAAGCUAAUCACCUCAUAAAUAGGAAUGUUUCUUUUACCUAUAAAAUGAUUACUAGUAGUUAUUAAUUUCCUUGGAAUUUUGAAUCCAUUUGAGAAGCUCAAUAAGUGGUUUGAACCCUGCUUCAGAUGAACACUCAUGUACAUAUUUUGGAAAAAUUUUUACGGGCUUUAUAAAAUGCUUGAAGUUUGUCUAUGAAUACUUCAGAUGAACUAGAAUUGGAACAAGGUAGGGUUAUGGGUUAAAUGACGCUUUACUAUGACUUGGAGUGGGUUGUUGAUGCCUUGAAAAUAAAAAAUAUUUGACAAGGCACACAAUUCCAGUUGUAGUCUUCAUAAAUGAUAUAGCUUUUGAGCUUAUAAUGAAUGUUUGGAGUUUUUGGAAAUACAUCAAUUUGAACCUUAAAGUGAAACCUGAUCAUUGCUAUCCUUUACAUAUUUA